UACGUAGGGACCGAGCGUUGUCCGGAAUCAUUGGGCGUAAAGAGCGUGUAGGCGGCCAAUUAAGUCCUGCGUGAAAUCUCGGGGCUCAACCCCGAGCGGUCGUGGGAAACUGGUUGGCUAGAGUGCGGGAGAGGAGAGUGGAAUUCCUGGUGUAGCGGUGAAAUGCGCAGAUAUCAGGAAGAACACCCGUGGACGAAGGCGGCUCUCUGGAACGCAACUGGACGCUGAGACGCGAAAGCGUGGGGAGCAAACAGG
Molecule: ribosomal RNA, 255 nt
Filed under: uncultured bacterium
Lineage: Bacteria
Description: partial 16S ribosomal RNA
Rfam family: Bacterial small subunit ribosomal RNA
Source: RNAcentral